UACGAAGGGGGCGAGCGUUGUUCGGAUUUACUGGGCGUAAAGGGCGCGUAGGCGGCGCGAGAAGUCGAGUGUGAAAGCCCCGGGCUCAACCUGGAGACGCCACCCGAUACUGCUGUGGCUUGAGUCCGGUAGAGGAGCGUAGAAUUCCUGGUGUAGCGGUGAAAUGCGCAGAUAUCAGGAGGAAUACCAGCGGCGAAGGCGGCGCUCUGGGCCGGAACUGACGCUGAGGAGCGAAAGCGUGGGUAGCAAACAGG
This 254-nucleotide ribosomal RNA is filed under the name uncultured bacterium. RNAcentral describes it as "partial 16S ribosomal RNA". It matches the Rfam family "Bacterial small subunit ribosomal RNA", at positions 524 to 776 of the family's 1533-position model. The record is from RNAcentral.